RNAcentral lists this ribosomal RNA (482 nucleotides) under uncultured bacterium. RNAcentral's name for it is "partial 16S ribosomal RNA". It matches the Rfam family "Bacterial small subunit ribosomal RNA", at positions 30 to 507 of the family's 1533-position model. The record is from RNAcentral.
AUUGAACGCUGGCGGCAUGCCUUACACAUGCAAGUCGAACGGUAACAGGUCUUCGGAUGCUGACGAGUGGCGAACGGGUGCGUAAUACAUCGGAACGUGCCCGAUCGUGGGGGAUAACGAGGCGAAAGCUUUGCUAAUACCGCAUACGAUCUACGGAUGAAAGCGGGGGAUCUUCGGACCUCGCGCGGACGGAGCGGCCGAUGGCAGAUUAGGUAGUUGGUGGGAUAAAAGCUUACCAAGCCGACGAUCUGUAGCUGGUCUGAGAGGAUGAUCAGCCACACUGGGACUGAGACACGGCCCAGACUCCUACGGGAGGCAGCAGUGGGGAAUUUUGGACAAUGGGCGAAAGCCUGAUCCAGCCAUGCCGCGUGCAGGAUGAAGGCCUUCGGGUUGUAAACUGCUUUUGUACGGAACGAAAAGCCUCUUUCUAAUAAAGAGGGGUCAUGACGGUACCGGAAGAAUAAGCACCGGCUAACUACGUG